AUUGAACGCUGGCGGCAGGCCUAACACAUGCAAGUCGAGCGGAUGAAGGGAGCUUGCUCCUGGAUUCAGCGGCGGACGGGUGAGUAAUGCCUAGGAAUCUGCCUGGUAGUGGGGGAUAACGUCCGGAAACGGGCGCUAAUACCGCAUACGUCCUGAGGGAGAAAGUGGGGGAUCUUCGGACCUCACGCUAUCAGAUGAGCCUAGGUCGGAUUAGCUAGUUGGUGGGGUAAAGGCCUACCAAGGCGACGAUCCGUAACUGGACUGAGAGGAUGAUCAGUCACACUGGAACUGAGACACGGUCCAGACUCCUACGGGAGGCAGCAGUGGGGAAUAUUGGACAAUGGGCGAAAGCCUGGUCCAGCCAUGCCGCGUGUGUGAAGAAGGUCUUCGGAUUGUAAAGCACUUUAAGUUGGGAGGAAGGGCAGUAAGUUAAUACCUUGCUGUUUUGACGGUACCAACAGAAUAAGCACCGGCUAACUUCGUG
Molecule: ribosomal RNA, 484 nt
Filed under: uncultured bacterium
Lineage: Bacteria
Description: partial 16S ribosomal RNA
Rfam family: Bacterial small subunit ribosomal RNA
Source: RNAcentral